CUCUGGCCUCGCCGUCUUAGGCCUCAGCGAGUCGCCUUGGCCUCCUUCACACAGAAAAAUAGUUUUCUACCGGAGAAUGACAUCCGUUUCCCACUAAAGAUGCCGGUGUUUCUCCAGUGCUUACAAAGCGAGCCUACUGUGACUGACUCAGACACGGACAUUUCACAGUGGCUCCAGAAGGCAUCAGUCAAUAUUAAGGACUCAUUAUAGUAAAUCAUCUACACAGGUAUGUGAAGAGAGAGAGAAGAAGUUCUGGCUACAAGUACUUUGCACAAUGAAUAGUCAAGAGAAAAUGCACAGGGAAGAAGCCUCAGAAGUUCCAGAGUGGAAUAUGGAUGCUGCAUGUGACGUAAGUAACUAUUAUCAUCUGCCCCACCUCCUUGUCUGACUUUAAAUAAACAAACAAACAAACAAACA
This 417-nucleotide long non-coding RNA is filed under the name Parus major (Great Tit). RNAcentral's name for it is "lncRNA (ENSPMJG00000010123.1)". The record is from RNAcentral. Lineage: Eukaryota; Metazoa; Chordata; Aves; Passeriformes; Paridae.